GUGGGCGUAGCUCAGCUGGUUAGAGCGCCAGGUUGUGGCCCUGGAGGUCGAGGGUUCGAAGCCCUUCGCUCACC
This 74-nucleotide transfer RNA is filed under the name Deltaproteobacteria bacterium. Its description in RNAcentral is "tRNA-His". It matches the Rfam family "tRNA". From Rfam's summary of the family: Transfer RNA (tRNA) molecules are approximately 80 nucleotides in length. Their secondary structure includes four short double-helical elements and three loops (D, anti-codon, and T loops). The record is from RNAcentral. Lineage: Bacteria; Pseudomonadati; Myxococcota; Myxococcia.